CUUACCGAUACUUGGUCGACAAUUUAAUAGUAUCUGAUUAAUUGAUGGAUAGUAUUAGUUGUGCGACCAGGAAAUGGUAUGA
Caenorhabditis briggsae is the source of this 82-nucleotide non-coding RNA. The record is from Rfam. NCBI's taxonomy places the organism in Eukaryota, Metazoa, Nematoda, Chromadorea, Rhabditida, Rhabditidae.